UACGUAGGGUGCAAGCGUUGUCCGGAAUUAUUGGGCGUAAAGAGCUCGUAGGCGGUUUGUUGCGUCGGCUGUGAAAUCCCGAGGCUCAACCUCGGGUCUGCAGUCGAUACGAGCAAACUAGAGUGUUGCAGGGGAGACUGGAAUUCCUGGUGUAGCGGUGAAAUGCGCAGAUAUCAGAAGGAAUACCGGUGGCGAAAGCGACUCUCUGGACGGCAACUGACGCUGAGGCACGAAAGCGUGGGGAGCAAACAGG
This 253-nucleotide ribosomal RNA is filed under the name uncultured bacterium. RNAcentral describes it as "partial 16S ribosomal RNA". It matches the Rfam family "Bacterial small subunit ribosomal RNA", at positions 524 to 776 of the family's 1533-position model. The record is from RNAcentral.